RNAcentral lists this ribosomal RNA (252 nucleotides) under uncultured bacterium. RNAcentral's name for it is "partial 16S ribosomal RNA". It matches the Rfam family "Bacterial small subunit ribosomal RNA", at positions 524 to 776 of the family's 1533-position model. The record is from RNAcentral.
UACGUAGGGUGCAAGCGUUGUCCGGAAUUAUUGGGCGUAAAGAGCUCGUAGGCGGUUCGUCGCGUCGGCUGUGAAAUCCCGAGGCUCAACCUCGGGUCUGCAGUCGAUACGGGCGGACUGGAGUUCGGCAGGGGAGACUGGAAUUCCUGGUGUAGCGGUGAAAUGCGCAGAUAUCAGGAGGAACACCGGUGGCGAAGGCGGGUCUCUGGGCCGAUACUGACGCUGAGGAGCGAAAGCGUGGGAGCGAACAGG